GACGAACGCUGGCGGCGUGCCUAAUACAUGCAAGUAGAACGCUGAAGGAGGAGCUUGCUUCUCUGGAUGAGUUGCGAACGGGUGAGUAACGCGUAGGUAACCUGCCUGGUAGCGGGGGAUAACUAUUGGAAACGAUAGCUAAUACCGCAUAACAGUAGAUGUUGCAUGACAUUUGCUUAAAAGGUGCAAUUGCAUCACUACCAGAUGGACCUGCGUUGUAUUAGCUAGUUGGUGGGGUAACGGCUCACCAAGGCGACGAUACAUAGCCGACCUGAGAGGGUAAUCGGCCACACUGGGACUGAGACACGGCCCAGACUCCUACGGGAGGCAGCAGUAGGGAACCUUCGGCAAUGGACGGAAGUCUGACCGAGCAACGCCGCGUGAGUGAAGAAGGUUUUCGGAUCGUAAAGCUCUGUUGUAAGAGAAGAACGGGUGUGAGAGUGGAAAGUUCACACUGUGAC
Molecule: ribosomal RNA, 461 nt
Filed under: Streptococcus mitis
Lineage: Bacteria; Bacillati; Bacillota; Bacilli; Lactobacillales; Streptococcaceae
Description: bacterial SSU rRNA
Rfam family: Bacterial small subunit ribosomal RNA
Source: RNAcentral